RNAcentral lists this unclassified non-coding RNA (76 nucleotides) under Mucilaginibacter polytrichastri. RNAcentral's name for it is "Flavo-1 RNA". The record is from RNAcentral. Lineage: Bacteria; Pseudomonadati; Bacteroidota; Sphingobacteriia; Sphingobacteriales; Sphingobacteriaceae.
CCCUAAACCCGAUAGCAGCGGAUACCGGCCACCGUGGCUAAGGCCUGUGGAGUAUGAGCGUAUAGCGGGACUGCAU